RNAcentral lists this transfer RNA (72 nucleotides) under Stegodyphus mimosarum. It matches the Rfam family "tRNA". Rfam says of the family: Transfer RNA (tRNA) molecules are approximately 80 nucleotides in length. Lineage: Eukaryota; Metazoa; Arthropoda; Arachnida; Araneae; Eresidae. The record is from Rfam by way of RNAcentral.
ACCUUCGUGGUGUAACGGUUAGCACACUUGGUGCAUAUUCUAGAGGUCCAGGUUCGAGUCCCAGCGAGGGCA